RNAcentral lists this ribosomal RNA (478 nucleotides) under uncultured bacterium. RNAcentral describes it as "partial 16S ribosomal RNA". It matches the Rfam family "Bacterial small subunit ribosomal RNA", at positions 28 to 507 of the family's 1533-position model. The record is from RNAcentral.
GAUGAACGCUAGCGGCAGGCUUAACACAUGCAAGUCGAGGGGUAUUUAUCUUCGGAUAGAGAGACCGCCGCACGGGUGCGUAACGCGUAUGCAAUCUACCUUUUACAGAGGGAUAGCCCAGAGAAUUUUGGAUUAAUACCUCAUAGUAUAUAAAUCCGGCAUCGAGCUUAUAUUAAAGUCACAACGGUAAAAGAUGAGCAUGCGUCCCAUUAGCUAGUUGGUAAGGUAACGGCUUACCAAGGCUACGAUGGGUAGGGGACCUGAGAGGGAGAUCCCCCACACUGGUACUGAGACACAGACCAGACUCCUACGGGAGGCAGGAGUGAGGAAUAUUAGACAAUGGGCGCAAGCCUGAUCCAGCCAUGCCGCGUGCAGGAUGACGGUCCUAUGGAUUGUAAACUGCUUUUAUACGAGAAGAAACACUGCUACGUGUAGCAGCUUGACGGUAUCGUAAGAAUAAGGAUCGGCUAACUCCGUG